Molecule: long non-coding RNA, 300 nt
Organism: Lingula anatina
Lineage: Eukaryota; Metazoa; Brachiopoda; Lingulata; Lingulida; Lingulidae
Source: RefSeq, a predicted model, not a curated record
GUCUGUUUUCGAGUUACAAUCAAAGUAGGCAGGUCCUCAUUUGUAAAGUCAGCGGGAAGAAAAUGGAUGGGCCUCAAGUUAAUCAGUUAGUCAGCCCUCACAGUGACAGACCUGUGAAGCCCAAACAAAAAAGAAACAGACGAAAGCUUGUUCCCAUUGAAGUUCAAAAGGCCAGAAAGUUAGAAAAAGACAGACAAAGGAGCAGAGAGACGGUUCAUAUUGGCAGGCAAAUAGAGAGAUGGAAUGCUCUGAGGAAGGAGCUACAAAUAAAACAUGAAGUGUUGGCAGAGAUUCUCUUAG